CCUACGGGGGGCAGCAGUGGGGGAUAUUGCACAAUGGGGGAAACCCUGAUGCAGCGACGCCGCGUGGGUGAAGAAGCGCCUCGGCGCGUAAAGCCCUGUCAGCAGGGAAGAAAAUGACGGUACCUGAAGAAGAAGCCCCGGCUAACUACGUGCCAGCAGCCGCGGUAAUACGGAGGGGGCAAGCGUUAUCCGGAUUUACUGGGUGUAAAGGGGGCGCAGACGGGGAUGCAAGCCAGGAGUGAAAGCCCGGGGCCCAACCCCGGGACUGCUCUUGGAACUGCGUGGCUAGAGUGCAGGAGGGGCAGGCGGAAUUCCUGGUGAAGCGGUGAAAUGCGUAGAUAUCAGGAGGAACACCGGUGGCGAAGGCGGCCUGCUGGACUGCAACUGACGUUGAGGCCCGAAAGCGUGGGGAGCAAACAGGAUUAGAUACCCUAGUAGUC
RNAcentral lists this ribosomal RNA (440 nucleotides) under uncultured bacterium. RNAcentral describes it as "partial 16S ribosomal RNA". It matches the Rfam family "Bacterial small subunit ribosomal RNA", at positions 338 to 795 of the family's 1533-position model. The record is from RNAcentral.